RNAcentral lists this ribosomal RNA (515 nucleotides) under uncultured bacterium. Its description in RNAcentral is "partial 16S ribosomal RNA". It matches the Rfam family "Bacterial small subunit ribosomal RNA", at positions 28 to 523 of the family's 1533-position model. The record is from RNAcentral.
GAUGAACGCUGGCGGCGUGCCUAAUACAUGCAAGUCGAGCGAAUGGAUUAAGAGCUUGCUCUUAUGAAGUUAGCGGCGGACGGGUGAGUAACACGUGAGUAACCUGCCCAUAAGACUGGGAUAACUCCGGGAAACCGGGGCUAAUACCGGAUAACAUUUUGAACCGCAUGGUUCGAAAUUGAAAGGCGGCUUCGGCUGUCACUUAUGGAUGGACCCGCGUCGCAUUAGCUAGUUGGUGAGGUAACGGCUCACCAAGGCAACGAUGCGUAGCCGACCGGGGAGGGUGAUCGGCCACACUGGGACUGAGACGCGGCCCAGACUCCUACGGGAGGCAGCAGUAGGGAAUCUUCCGCAAUGGACGAAAGUCUGACGGAGCAACGCCGCGUGAGUGAUGAAGGCUUUCGGGUCGUAAAACUCUGUUGUUAGGGAAGAACAAGUGCUAGUUGAAUAAGCUGGCACCUUGACGGUACCUAACCAGAAAGCCACGGCUAACUACGUGCCAGCCGCCGCUGUAA